Molecule: non-coding RNA, 725 nt
Organism: Pelobates cultripes (western spadefoot toad)
Lineage: Eukaryota; Metazoa; Chordata; Amphibia; Anura; Pelobatidae
Source: the annotation of a GenBank genome assembly
UGUAAAAUGGAUUCUGUCCAGGAGGUGGGAAGGUCUGGGAGGGAGGGUCUGCUGCUGAUUGGCUGGAAUGUGUCUGCUGACUGUGAGGUACAGGGUCAAAGUUUACUCAAUGAUGAGUCCGUGGCGAACCGUUCAGCGAACCGUUCGGGACAUCACUAAUCAUCAUUAUAAAUGUUGCCAUUUCUGCCAUUGAACAUGGUGAAACAAACAAUGUUUAUGGGCUUAACCAUUAAUGUAAAAUAUAAGGUAGGCAGUCUUAAGUGUGCCAAACAGAAUAGAUACAUAUUAUUCUCCUCUUCAUAUACAUUGUAUGCCUUGGUUGUGCCAGAACUGACUUGGAUUGUGAUAUCCCAUCCUCCAUAGCUUUAAUAUACAUUUAAGAGAAAAUGGAGCAUCACAUUAAAAAUGGUUAAAAUUUAUUUUAGCUGAUAUUCAACGUAUUAUUCAAUCCUGUACGUGACAGUUUCCCUUUAGACCUACUUGAAUUUUUCUCCUAAUACUAAGGAAAAGGUGUGGUCAAUGCUUAAUUUUUUAGAAAUGAAUGCAGUACACUUGUCAGAUUAACACCACCUCUAUUUUGAUAUAGCCAUUAAAACAAGCCAUAAUUAUGUUUUACUGUUCUUGAAAGAAAUGCCAUUUUAUGUUAUGUUAAUAUCAUUCUGUGCGCAAUAAUAUUUAUUAAUCCUUCUGUAUCUUUGUAAUAAAUAUUUGCAAUGUGCUCUUAA